ACGAACGCUGGCGGCGUGCUUAACACAUGCAAGUCGAACGGAAAGGCCCUGCUUUUGUGGGGUGCUCGAGUGGCCAACGGGUGAGUAACACGUGAGUAACCUGCCCUUGACUUUGGGAUAACUUCAGGAAACUGGGGCUAAUACCGGAUAGGAGCUCCUGCUGCAUGGUGGGGGUUGGAAAGUUUCGGCGGUUGGGGAUGGACUCGCGGCUUAUCAGCUUGUUGGUGGGGUAGUGGCUUACCAAGGCUUUGACGGGUAGCCGGCCUGAGAGGGUGACCGGCCACAUUGGGACUGAGAUACGGCCCAGACUCCUACGGGAGGCAGCAGUGGGGAAUAUUGCACAAUGGGCGGAAGCCUGAUGCAGCAACGCCGCGUGCGGGAUGACGGCCUUCGGGUUGUAAACCGCUUUCGCCUGUGACGAAGCGUGAGUGACGGUAAGGGGUAAAGAAGCACCGGCUAACUACGUGC
RNAcentral lists this ribosomal RNA (468 nucleotides) under uncultured bacterium. RNAcentral describes it as "partial 16S ribosomal RNA". It matches the Rfam family "Bacterial small subunit ribosomal RNA", at positions 29 to 508 of the family's 1533-position model. The record is from RNAcentral.